AGAGCGAACGCUGGCGGCAGGCUUAACACAUGCAAGUCGAGCGGGCGUAGCAAUACGUCAGCGGCAGACGGGUGAGUAACGCGUGGGAACAUACCUUUUGGUUCGGAACAACACAGGGAAACUUGUGCUAAUACCGGAUAAGCCCUUACGGGGAAAGAUUUAUCGCCGAAAGAUUGGCCCGCGUCUGAUUAGCUAGUUGGUGAGGUAAUGGCUCACCAAGGCGACGAUCAGUAGCUGGUCUGAGAGGAUGAUCAGCCACAUUGGGACUGAGACACGGCCCAAACUCCUACGGGAGGCAGCAGUGGGAAUAUUGGACAAUGGGGGAAACCCUGAUCCAGCCAUGCCGCGUGAGUGAUGAAGGCCUUCGGGUUGUAAAACUCUUUCGACGGGGACGAUAAUGACGGUACCCGUAGAAGAAGCUCCGGCUAACUUCGUGCCAGCACCGC
This 446-nucleotide ribosomal RNA is filed under the name uncultured bacterium. RNAcentral's name for it is "SSU rRNA". It matches the Rfam family "Bacterial small subunit ribosomal RNA", at positions 26 to 518 of the family's 1533-position model. The record is from RNAcentral.